RNAcentral lists this ribosomal RNA (481 nucleotides) under uncultured bacterium. Its description in RNAcentral is "bacterial SSU rRNA". It matches the Rfam family "Bacterial small subunit ribosomal RNA", at positions 501 to 985 of the family's 1533-position model. The record is from RNAcentral.
CUACGUGCCAGCAGCCGCGGUAAUACGGAGGAUGCGAGCGUUAUCCGGAUUUAUUGGGUUUAAAGGGAGCGUAGGCGGAUUGUUAAGUCAGCGGUUAAAGGGUGUGGCUCAACCAUGCAUUGCCGUUGAAACUGGCGAUCUUGAGUGCAGACAGGGAUGCCGGAAUUCGUGGUGUAGCGGUGAAAUGCUUAGAUAUCACGCAGAACUCCGAUUGCGAAGGCAGCUUACUAAGGUACAACUGACGCUGAAGCACGAAAGCGUGGGUAUCAAACAGGAUUAGAUACCCUGGUAGUCCACGCAGUAAACGAUGAUAACUGGGCGUAUGCGAUAUACAGUAUGCUCCUAAGCGAAAGCGUUAAGUUAUCCACCUGGGGAGUACGCCGGCAACGGUGAAACUCAAAGGAAUUGACGGGGGCCCGCACAAGCGGAGGAACAUGUGGUUUAAUUCGAUGAUACGCGAGGAACCUUACCCGGGAUUGAA